GAUGAACGCUGGCGGCGUGCCUAGUACAUGCAAGUCGAGCGAACAGACGAGGAGCUUGCUCCUCUGAUGUUAGCGGCGGACGGGUGAGUAACACGUGGAUAACCUACCUAUAAGACUGGGAUAACUUCGGGAAACCGGAGCUAAUACCGGAUAACAUGUUGAACCGCAUGGUUCAACAGUGAAAGACGGUCUUGCUGUCACUUAUAGAUGGAUCCGCGCCGCAUUAGCUAGUUGGUAAGGUAACGGCUUACCAAGGCAACGAUGCGUAGCCGACCUGAGAGGGUGAUCGGCCACACUGGAACUGAGACACGGUCCAGACUCCUACGGGAGGCAGCAGUAGGGAAUCUUCCGCAAUGGGUGAAAGCCUGACGGAGCAACGCCGCGUGAGUGAAGAAGGUCUUCGGAUCGUAAAACUCUGUUAUUAGGGAAGAACAAAUGUGUAAGUAACUAUGCACGUCUUGACGGUACCUAAUCAGAAAGCCACGGCUAACUACGUG
RNAcentral lists this ribosomal RNA (497 nucleotides) under uncultured bacterium. RNAcentral describes it as "partial 16S ribosomal RNA". It matches the Rfam family "Bacterial small subunit ribosomal RNA", at positions 28 to 507 of the family's 1533-position model. The record is from RNAcentral.